GAUGAACGCUAGCGACAGGCUUAACACAUGCAAGUCGAGGGGCAGCGGGGUGUAGCAAUACAUCGCCGGCGACCGGCGCACGGGUGAGUAACGCGUAUGCAACUUGCCUAUCAGAGGGGGAUAACCCGUCGAAAGACGGACUAAUACCGCAUGAAACAGGGAUCCCGCAUGGGAUAUUUGUUAAAGAUUACAUCGCUGAUAGAUAGGCAUGCGUUCCAGUUAGGUAGUUAGGUGGGGGCCAACGGCCCCACCAAGCCGACGAUGGAUAGGGGUUCU
Molecule: ribosomal RNA, 276 nt
Filed under: uncultured bacterium
Lineage: Bacteria
Description: partial 16S ribosomal RNA
Rfam family: Bacterial small subunit ribosomal RNA
Source: RNAcentral